CCAAUAGCGUAUAUUAAAGUUGUUGCAGUUAAAAAGCUCGUAGUUGAAUUUCGGGACCAAUCUGCCGGUCGUGCCUCCGGUACGCACUGGUUUUAUUGGUUUCUCCCUUCUGACGAACCAUGAUGUCAUUAAUUUGGUGUCAUGGGGAAUCAGGACUGUUACUUUGAAAAAAUUAGAGUGUUUAUAGCAGGCUCACGCUUGAAUACAUUAGCAUGGAAUAAUGAAAUAGGACGUUUGACCCUAUUUUGUUGGUUUCUAGGAUCGACGUAAUGAUUAAUAGGGAUAGUUGGGGGCAUUAGUAUUAAAUUGUCAGAGGUGAAAUUCUUGGAUUUAUUGAAGACUAACUACUGCGAAAGCAUUUGCCAAGGAUGUUUUCAUUAAUCAAGAACGAAAGUUAGGGGAUCGAAGACGAUCAGAUACCGUCGUAGUCUUAACCAUAAACUAUGCCGACUAGGGAUCGGAUGAUGUUAAUUUUUUAAUGACUCAUUCGGCGCCUUACG
This 500-nucleotide unclassified non-coding RNA is filed under the name uncultured Glomus. RNAcentral's name for it is "SSU rRNA". It matches the Rfam family "Eukaryotic small subunit ribosomal RNA", at positions 591 to 1092 of the family's 1831-position model. The record is from RNAcentral. Lineage: Eukaryota; Fungi; Glomeromycota; Glomeromycetes; Glomerales; Glomeraceae.